GGUGCUUGCACUGAUCCGAUCGAGUGGCGGACGGGUGAGUAACGCGUGGGUAACCUGCCUCAUACAGGGGAAUAACAGUUGGAAACGGCUGCUAAAACCGCAUAAGCGCACAGUAUCGCAUGAUACAGUGUGAAAAACUCCGGUGGUAUGAGAUGGACCCGCGUCUGAUUAGCUAGUUGGUGAGGUAACGGCCCACCAAGGCAACGAUCAGUAGCCGGCCUGAGAGGGUGAACGGCCACAUUGGGACUGAGACACGGCCCAAACUCCUACGGGAGGCAGCAGUGGGGAAUAUUGCACAAUGGGGGAAACCCUGAUGCAGCGACGCCGCGUGAGUGAUGAAGUAUUUCGGUAUGUAAAGCUCUAUCAGCAGGGAAGAUAAUGACGGUACCUGACUAAGAAGCACCGGCUAAAUACGUGCCAGCAGCCGCGGUAAUACGUAUGGUGCAAGCGUUAUCCGGAUUUACUGGGUGUAAAGGGUGCGUAGGUGGUGAGACAAGUCUGAAGUGAAAAUCCGGGGCUUAACCCCGGAACUGCUUUGGAA
RNAcentral lists this ribosomal RNA (541 nucleotides) under uncultured bacterium. RNAcentral's name for it is "bacterial SSU rRNA". It matches the Rfam family "Bacterial small subunit ribosomal RNA", at positions 75 to 631 of the family's 1533-position model. The record is from RNAcentral.